Molecule: ribosomal RNA, 511 nt
Filed under: uncultured bacterium
Lineage: Bacteria
Description: bacterial SSU rRNA
Rfam family: Bacterial small subunit ribosomal RNA
Source: RNAcentral
UGAGGAAUAUUGCACAAUGGGCGCAAGCCUGAUGCAGCGACGCCGCGUGGGUGAAGAAGGUUUUCGGAUCGUAAAGCCCUUUUCUGUGUGACGAGACAAGGACGGUAGCACAGGAAUAAGUGUCGGCUAACUACGUGCCAGCAGCCGCGGUAAAACGUAGGACACAAGCGUUAUCCGGAGUUACUGGGCGUAAAGGGCGUGCAGGCGGUUUCUUAAGUCAGGCGUGAAACCAUUCGGCUAAACCGGGUGUAGUCGUCUGAGACUGGGAGACUUGAGUGUGGUAGAGGCGUGUAGAAUUCCGGGUGUAGUGGUGAAAUGCGUAGAUAUCCGGAGGAAUACCAGUGGCGAAGGCGGCACGCUGGGCCAUAACUGACGCUAAGACGCGAAAGCAUGGGUAGCGAACGGGAUUAGAAACCCCGGUAGUCCAUGCCGUAAACGAUGUACACUGGGUGUUCAGACGGGGAAGCUCGUCGGGGUGCCUAAGCUAACGCGCUAAGUGUACCGCCUGGGG